CAGCAGCCGCGGUAAUACCGGCGGCCCGAGUGGCGGUCACUAUUAUUGGGCUUAAAACGUCCGUAGCCGGGUUGGGAAGUCCUCCGGGAAAUCUGGCCGCUUAACGGUCAGAAUGCCGGAGGAUACUCCCAGCCUAGGGAGCGGGGGAGGCCGAGGGGAUUCCCGGGGUAGGGGUGAAAUCCUAUAAUCCCGGGAGGACCACCUGUGGCGAAGGCGCUCGGCUGGAACGCGUCCGACGGGGAGGGACGAAGGCCAGGGGAGCAAACCGGAUUAGAUACCCGGGUAGUCCUGGCUGUAAACGAUGCGGACUUUGUGUCGGACAAGCUAUGAGCUUGUCCGGUGCCGGAGGGAAACCGUUAAGUCCGCCGCCUGGGGAGUACGGCCGCAAGGCUGAAACUUAAAGGAAUUGGCGGG
Molecule: ribosomal RNA, 414 nt
Filed under: uncultured microorganism
Description: bacterial SSU rRNA
Rfam family: Archaeal small subunit ribosomal RNA
Source: RNAcentral